CUACGGGGGGCUGCAGUAAGGAAUAUUGGUCAAUGGAGGAAACUCUGAACCAGCCAUCCCGCGUGAAGGAUGAAGGGGCUCUGCCUUGUAAACUUCUUUUGUCUGGGGCGAAAAAGCUCGAUUUAUCGAGAACUGACGGUACCAGAAGAAUAAGCACCGGCUAACUCCGUUCCAGCAGCCGCGGUAAUACGGAUGGUGCAAGCGUUAUCCGGAAUCACAGGGUUUAAAGGCGGCGUAGGAAGUCUGUUAAGAAAGGCUGUGGCUUAUCCAUGGAAUUGCCAUUGAUACUGCAGAGCUUGAAUGAGGUUGAGGUUGGCGGAAUGUGACAUGUAGCGGUGAAAUGCUUAGAUAUGUCAUGGAACACCGAUUGCGAAGGCAGCUGACUGGACCUAUAUUGACGCUGAGGCACGAAAGCGUGGGGAGCGAACAGGAUUAGAUACCCCUGUAGUC
This 450-nucleotide ribosomal RNA is filed under the name uncultured bacterium. Its description in RNAcentral is "partial 16S ribosomal RNA". It matches the Rfam family "Bacterial small subunit ribosomal RNA", at positions 339 to 795 of the family's 1533-position model. The record is from RNAcentral.